UGAAAUAUGGAUGCCCUUGAGGUCGAUAGCUUCUCCAAGCUGGGAGAGGGAGGAGAGGGAGCAGAGAGCGGAGAGGCGGAAACAAAGAGUCCACAGUUACACAAAGCGCCCAAAGAAGAGAGUGAGGAGGACGGGAACGGAGGCAGAGCGGAGACAAAGGCAGACAGGGAGGGGCAGGGCGGGAGAGGAUAGGAGAGGGGAGAGGGAGAAGGCACGGACCCCCGAGUGACAGACAAGGCACCUCGUGACUCAGAGCCCAACAGAUGCCAAAAAAGUCCUAGCACGCACCCCCUCCCCAGAGAGGCCUUAAAUAGAAAGCGGAGUGACACACCCCCUUCUUCCCGCGACAAGUUAGAGCACAGCAGCUGGAAAGAGGACGCGGAACCGAUGGCCCUGGGAACCGGGUCGGAGAAACUGACAGAGGAGAUUAGAAACCCGCACAGAUCGGGAGGAGAGACUCCCAGACACAGAAGCAGAGCGGCGGAAAGGAGAGGAGCGACGCGCCAGGCUGUGCUUAGACAGGAGCAGUGAAAUAAAAGAUGUGAAAGUACUUUACAAGAAUGAAUCUGGAUGCCUCAUACACUUCCUGUUGUACGACCUUCACAACCAGUUCAUUUUGCAGAUAAAGGAGACCAAAGAUCAAAGGAGGGAAGGCUGUGUGAGGAGGUGGUUGUCUACAAGCCAGGGAGAGAGCCCUCACCAGCAACUGACUCUGCCACCACCUUGAUCCUGGACUUCUGUCUUCCAAAAUAGGGAAGCCACCUGCCUUUCCUUGAGAAACUCAGAUAGUCCUGUAGAGAGGCCCACUUGACAAAGAACUGAGACCACAGUCCAACCAUUAGGAAUGGAGGCCUUCCAACAACCAUGUGGGUGAACUUGAAAGUGGAUCCUUCAACCCACUGGAGCCUUGAAAUACUGCAGUCCCAGUCAACAGUUUGACUGCAGCCUGAGAACCCUCUGUCAGAAUCUCCCAGCUAAGCCCCUCCCUCAGAAACCAUGGGACUCGUGGGUCUUGGUGGCACUAACAGGUAACUGACACGGUUGGUCUCCAUUUUAGGAUUCUCUUAAAUCUGUAGGUUUCUGCUCCAUCUCUCUCCCUUUUCAACUUAUGUAUUGAAGAAACACAAUGGUUUGUCAGGUAAAUACCCUCGCUCUCUGGAGUCUCCUGAUUACACCUCCAUGAUAGUGUUUCACCAUAUUCCUCUUGCCUCUGUUUAUCCUGUAGACUGACAAUUCAAUCUACCUGCCCUGUCUGAUAUGAUACUGUGAUAUAUGGAGUCAUAAGAAACACGUAUUUGGUCAUUCAGAUGACCAAAUACGUGUUUCUCGGGUACAUUUGGUCUUCAUCCACAGUUCCUGAAAACACUGCAGUCUUAAAGGUGAAAUGGAUGUCUUGUCACGUUAAUGAGAAACUUUUGGACCCCCACCCAAAAGUGGGGGCUGGAGGUUAAAUCAGUCAAUGGUCCAUGAUUUAUUCAAUCAUGACUAUGCAAUGAAGCCCUCACAAACACCUCUGAGAAGAGCAUCUCUCUCUUGGAUCCAACUUCUCUGUUGGGGAGAGCUUCCAAGCUUGGGGAAGGAGAACGCGUCCACAUGCCACGGAACCAGGCCCCGAGCUCCACAGGGAUAGAAGCUCCUUUAUUUGGGACUAACCCUAUGUAUCCCUUCAUCUAGCUGUUAAGUUGUAUCCUUUGUUAAACUGAUAAAUGUGUUUCCCCGAGUUCUGUGAGCAGCUUAGCAAAUUUAUAGAACCUAAGGGGUAUGUUGUGGGAACCUCCAAUCUGUGAUAGUUCAGAAGCACAGGCAACUGCCUGGGGCUUACAACUCGUGUCUGGAGUCAGGGGGUGGAGGGCAGUCUUGUAAGAUGGAGCCUUUAACAUGGGGUGUUUUGUGCUGUCUCUGGGCAGAUAGCAUCAGGAUCAUAUUGAGCUCUCGGACACCCUGCUGCUGUUUGAGAAUUGCUUGGUGUUGUGUGUGUGAGAAGACCCCACCUCACGCACACACACACACACACUGGAAUCGUGUCCAGGGACGGGAAAGGCAUUAUACUAAGUGUAUACUAAUACUAUUAUUGUUGUGUGGGAAAAAAAAACACAGGUAGCCAUUAGCCAUGUGUGGUUGUGGGCACCUGAAAUAUGGCUGAUGCAACUGAGGAUCAGAGCUUUUUAUUUCAUUUAAUUUGAGUUAAUUUAGAUUUUAAAAUGGAUAAUUGAUCCAGUUAUUGGAAAACUUUUAGGUACAUUCAGAACAACUUUUUCAGUUGUGAAUCUACUUCUUCACUUGAGAAUUUUAUAAGUUUUAAAUAUGGAUCAAGCAUUUCCAAUGGAUGUUUAGUAUCCAAAUUGAACUAUGGCCUAAGUGUAAAAUACAAACCAGAUUUCAAAGACAGUCCAGAAAGAAAGUAUGGAAAAUGUCUCAUUACUAUUUUUAUGUUGAUCACCUAUUGAAAUAAUAUUUUAGACAUAUUGGACUAAAGAAAACAUUAUUAAAUAUAAUUUCACCAGUUUCUCUUUGCCUUUUGAAAGUGGUUACUACUAGAAAGUUUCAAUUAUAUAUGUGACUCCCAUUAAAAUUCUUGCUAGCAGGUUGCACUUUUUGGGAAACACUUUGGUAGGUGAUGUUGCAUUUUUUCCAUUAAAGACUCAAAUCUGGUUGUCUUGUUGGAAUCUUAUCAGGCAUUGAUGCUCAAGACUUUAAAUCCAGUCAAUUUGUACGGGCUGCAAAAUGUUGUUCGUUUUACUGGCUGGAAUAUACCUAUAAAAGGAAACCUCUCCUCUGCUGUAAUCACCCUGAAGCACAGCUUAUGAAGAGAAGACAGAACAAGUGCUUAAACUUUCCCUGUAUUUGUUAAUUCUCAAAAUGAUGAGUCAGUUCCUCAGCAUCUUUCGAUGGCGAUCAAUUAUUGUUUUAAAAACUCUCAUGAACCAAUGGGUUUUAAAGAUGUUUGAUGUGAUACAAUCCAAUGCAAACACUGUCAUUAUUAAUGCUCGAGUUAUCAAGCUGUCUGGAUAAAUUGGUGUUUUAA
Long non-coding RNA from Manis pentadactyla (Chinese pangolin), 3025 nucleotides. RefSeq lists it as uncharacterized. NCBI's taxonomy places the organism in Eukaryota, Metazoa, Chordata, Mammalia, Pholidota, Manidae. The transcript has 5 exons. The record is from RefSeq and is a predicted model, not a curated record.